GACCCGCGUCUGAUUAGCUAGUUGGUAAGGUAACGGCUUACCAAGGCGACGAUCAGUAGCCGACCUGAGAGGGUGAUCGGCCACAUUGGAACUGAGACACGGUCCAAACUCCUACGGGAGGCAGCAGCGGGGAAUAUUGCACAAUGGGCGAAAGCCUGAUGCAGCAACGCCGCGUGAGUGAUGAAGGCCUUCGGGUCGUAAAACUCUGUCCUCAAGGCAGAUACUGACGGUACUUGAGGAGGAAGCCCCGGCUAA
RNAcentral lists this ribosomal RNA (255 nucleotides) under Clostridioides difficile. RNAcentral describes it as "partial 16S ribosomal RNA". It matches the Rfam family "Bacterial small subunit ribosomal RNA", at positions 228 to 500 of the family's 1533-position model. Lineage: Bacteria; Bacillati; Bacillota; Clostridia; Peptostreptococcales; Peptostreptococcaceae. The record is from RNAcentral.